GAUGAACGCUGGCGGCGUGCCUAAUACAUGCAAGUCGAGCGAACGGACGAGAAGCUUGCUUCUCUGAUGUUAGCGGCUGACGGGUGAGUAACACGUGGAUAACCUACCUAUAAGACUGGGAUAACUUCGGGAAACCGGAGCUAAUACCGGAUAAUAUUUUGAACCGCAUGGUUCAAAAGUGAAAGACGGUCUUGCUGUCACUUAUAGAUGGAUCCGCGCUACAUUAGCUAGUUGGUAAGGUAACGGCUUACCAAGGCAACGAUGCAUAGCCGACCUGAGAGGGUGAUCGGCCACACUGGAAAUGAGACAAGGUCCAGACUCCUACGGGAGGCAGCAGUAGGGAAUCUUCCGCAAUGGGCGAAAGCCUGACGGAGCAACGCCGCGUGAGUGAUGAAGGUCUUCGGAUCGUAAAACUCUGUUAUUCGGGAAGAACAUAUGUGUAAGUAACUGUGCACAUCUUGACGGUACCUAAUCAGAAAGCCACGGCUAACUACGUG
This 497-nucleotide ribosomal RNA is filed under the name uncultured bacterium. Its description in RNAcentral is "partial 16S ribosomal RNA". It matches the Rfam family "Bacterial small subunit ribosomal RNA", at positions 28 to 507 of the family's 1533-position model. The record is from RNAcentral.